AAUUUUGAUUAGUCAUAUGUCAGCCUUAGUUGGCCCAACGAGAGAUUUGAUUGUUCCAGGACUACAUUGCCGUGCACUAGUUAUGUUCAGAGUACACGUUACAAUGGCACGGCAAUGUAGCUAUGAAUACACCGUUGUCCAACAUGUGUCUUUCUGUCAACCAAAUUGGAAGAAAUAAGUUCAAUGCUACAUCAGCCAAGAACUGAAUGGUUGUAACAGCAGAUGAGUACGUAGCGGCAAAACAGAUGCUAUGAGAAAUUUUCUAACCACAAGGACUGUGCUUGGAGAAACUUUUUUGUCUUGCCAAUUUGCCAUGUAUAUAUACUAAUAUUGAAAGUUCUCAGAAACAUAACACAAUCUACUCAAGACUGUGUAAUCAUCAUAUUAGGAUAACAAUUGAUUCUCCUUAAAAUGUUUUGUGAUCUCUGUCCUCCAUGAGCAGGACGAAAAAUAUAUUUUAUAGAAUACCACAGGAACAUUAGCGAUCAUUUCUACAUUAGCAAGAGGAACAACUCACAGCACGAGUGGCAAGUUCUUCUGCAGUUCAGUUACAUUUUUUUAACCGAUAGAUCAACAUCCAAGUAUUUAGUUUUCCCCUUGUGCCAAAAACAUGUUCCAAUUUAUAGUAAAGAAAUGUGGUUCGGUCGAUCCAUAAAAAUAUUUAAGAAAUUCAAAUCUAGACAAACAUAAAAACACAUCUAGGUAAAUAAAAACACAUGUAUGUGUAGGGCGAGGGACAAGGUUGUGGGUGACCAACACGUUCAGACCCAUCAUACCUCAUUUAUAGUUAAACAAAAUAAAAUCGCUGAUGAGAACAUGGCUAGCUUACAUAUCAAAAAUAAAAAUGUAUAUGUUCUACGUGAGACUUACGUGUUAUCUAAAGUAGUGAAAAAAGUAAAGUUUUUUGUCACCAUAUUGCGCCACGUCAUCAAAGUAAUAAGGGCCGUUCGAUUCUUACUCUAGACGUUGGUGGUCGUUGGAUCCUAUAAUUGGCAUAGUAUAUUCUAGGCCCUUGAGGAAACUCCUAUCUAUUUCUAGUCCUUACACAUCCUUAUAACUCUUUUGUUUUUCAUUUUCACCCUUCCUCCUCCCACACCGUGAGGCACCCACCCUGACGCUCUGUCUUCUCGCACUCGCGGCGCCGUCUCGCACUCAUCGUCGUUGUCGACCUUGGAGCCACCCGCCGCUGCCGCUGCCUCAUCGACUCCUCUCCAAGACCCCAUCACCACCGCUGGCCCCCUCUCCAUCUGUACUGCUGCACAGUAUCCUCCAUCGAUCCCCUAUUCCGGCGGCGGCCACACCUCCUGUCCUUUCCAUCCAAAAUGCCACUGCGUCGAUUCAUUCCCUCCUGGCCGCUCUCCAGCUCCUCCUCCAUGGUUAUGUCUCCUAGUGGCUUGGAGCUGGCAACACCAGAGGGAGGUAGUGAUGGAGCCGGCUCAAGAAGACCCAAAACGCCGGUGUGGCGAACAAUGCUUCAGAUCCGAUAGUGGCCAGAGACGAUUGUAGAUUACCAUUAAGUAAUUUGAGUACAGUUGAGGAACUACCAGGUAGUAGUAUUUGGAUUUGUAAUAUGGAUGCUUAUGUUCAGCUGAAGCAUCAACAAUUGCAACUUGCUACUUCUGAAUAUCACCAUGAGUUUGUCCUGAUUAGUGUCUGUUUCGGAUGAAGGUGUCCGAACCUUUGUGUAGACAAUAGAAGGGAAAUUCUAUAAAAAAUAGGAAAAUGUGUUGUUUAAUUUUGAUUUCAUAUAGUCAUCCGAAUUUUUAAUAGGAUUAUUCUUGCAUCAGAGUGAGUUAGUGUCACAAUGUUAACCCCUACUUAUGUAAUUCGUGAGUUUCUCUGCAAAGCUUGAGCAUGGGUCAAAAUGAUUGCAAUAUAUUUGAUGUAUGUAAUUUUUUGUAUCAAUAAUUUCAUUAGGAAGCAGCAAAUUCAUUGUAGCCAGUAAUGGCUGUCAUUUGUAGAUCUUUUGAACAAAGCUGAAGCCAUAUCCAGAAUUAACCAAUGGAUACAAUGCAUUAGGAGAAGGUUUGUUUUUUUUUUGGCGGAUCAUGGAUAGUUGAAGCCUCUAUAUUGAGAGUAUGACAUUAUUUAUACUUAACAGGAUAGUUUGCUACUUUGCUUGAUAUGCCAUUAUUCUUUAUUUCCUAUGCCCCUUCCCUUCCAGAGCAUAAAUGGUCUUUUAGUUCGAAUCUACUAAGCAUCUUCUCCUAUUGUCUUUUAGUGUUUCUGCAAUUGGUUUAUUACUUAUAAAAUCAUGGUGUUAACCACCUAAUUUUGUUUACAUAAUUUCUCUCUCAUGCAUAAUCCUUUUCAGGGCAAUCUACAGCAUGAACACACUGGUAGCAGUUGUACGUAUAUACCUGGUCCUGGGCCAAGGUAAUAGCUGAUUACACUUCUUAUAUAUCCACCUCAGAUUGCAUGUUUUUGCAGAGAAGCCAUGUGAAGUGUUCCUGGAGUUUGGUGGAUAUAGGCAAAGUGAUAUUCUUUUAAGAAAAUCAAAGACAUGGUGUGUAUCACAGUGAGUCGAAUUGUCCAAUUUUCUUUUCUAACUCAUGUUGUGAAUGGAGACAUGCAUCUUAGUGGAAAUCCAGAGCUAUCAUGCAGGUUAUGAAUCCCUCAUUCAAGUUGUUUGUGAUAGAAGUACUAAAUACUUCACCUUUUUAUUUCAGGCGCUAUAAGCUGCAGAGGUUCCAUCUCACCAUGUAUUGUUAAAAGUCAGUGUUUCCAAUGUAAUUGUUGGGCAUACAAAUUGCAGGAUGGUUGCAGCAGAGCAAUAAAGCAAUUUUCAAACUACAUAAUAAGAUCAUUGGGCAUUAAAUAGGUGCAGCUCAAUUAUUUUUCCUGACAAUUGCCUACAUGAUAUCUAUUCACGAUGACAAAAUAGAGAAGAGACAUUUUACUGCAGUUCAGCACUCUGAAGAACCGGACAGGAAUUUCGUCAGCACAAAACAAUACCAGAUUGGAUAAAAACCGGAGAUACACAGAGACUUUACCCGUUGUAAUCACCCUGUUAUUUCACUAUCCAAUGAGAUCUGCAAACCAAAUAUUUAAAAAGCAUGA
Non-coding RNA from Oryza sativa Japonica Group (Japanese rice), 3060 nucleotides. Lineage: Eukaryota; Viridiplantae; Streptophyta; Magnoliopsida; Poales; Poaceae. The record is from RefSeq and is a predicted model, not a curated record.